UACGUAGGGGGGCAAGCGUUGUCCGGAUUUAUUGGGCGUAAAGAGCGUGUAGGCGGCUUUACAGGUCCGUUGUGAAAACUCGAGGCUCAACCUCGAGACGCCGGUGGAAACCGUAAGGCUAGAGUCCGGAAGAGGAGAGUGGAAUUCCUGGUGUAGCGGUGAAAUGCGCAGAUAUCAGGAGGAACACCCGUGGCGAAAGCGGCUCUCUGGGACGGUACUGACGCUGAGACGCGAAAAGCGUGGGGGAGCAAACAGG
This 256-nucleotide ribosomal RNA is filed under the name uncultured bacterium. RNAcentral describes it as "partial 16S ribosomal RNA". It matches the Rfam family "Bacterial small subunit ribosomal RNA", at positions 524 to 776 of the family's 1533-position model. The record is from RNAcentral.